Molecule: ribosomal RNA, 449 nt
Filed under: uncultured bacterium
Lineage: Bacteria
Description: partial 16S ribosomal RNA
Rfam family: Bacterial small subunit ribosomal RNA
Source: RNAcentral
AACGAACGCUGGCGGCAGGCUUAACACAUGCAAGUCGAACGGUUCCUUCGGGGACAGUGGCAGACGGGUGAGUAACGCGUGGGAAUCUACCCAGUCCUACGGGAUAGCUCCGGGAAACUGGAAUUAAUACCGUAUACGCCCUUUUGGGGAAAGAUUUAUCGGGAUUGGAUGAGCCCGCGUAAGAUUAGCUAGUUGGUGGGGUAAUGGCCCACCAAGGCGACGAUCUUUAGCUGGUCUGAGCGGAUGAUCAGCCACACUGGGACUGAGACACGGCCCAGACUCCUACGGGAGGCAGCAGUGGGGAAUAUUGGACAAUGGGAGCAAGCCUGAUCCAGCCAUGCCGCGUGAGUGAUGAAGGCCUUAGGGUUGUAAAGCUCUCUCACCGGAGAAGAUAAUGACGGUAUCCGGAGAAGAAGCCCCGGCUAACUUCGUGCCAGCCGCCGCGGUAA